RNAcentral lists this ribosomal RNA (253 nucleotides) under uncultured bacterium. Its description in RNAcentral is "partial 16S ribosomal RNA". It matches the Rfam family "Bacterial small subunit ribosomal RNA", at positions 524 to 776 of the family's 1533-position model. The record is from RNAcentral.
UACGAAGGGUGCAAGCGUUACUCGGAAUUACUGGGCGUAAAGCGCGCGUAGGCGGCCCUGUAAGUCCGCUGUGAAAGUCAAAGGCUCAACCUUUGAAAGCCGGUGGAUACUGCAGGGCUAGAGUCCGGAAGAGGCGAGUGGAAUUCCUGGUGUAGCGGUGGAAUGCGCAAAUAUCAGGAGGAACACCAAUAGCGAAGGCAGCUCGCUGGGACGGUACUGACGCUAAGGCGCGAAAGCGUGGGGAGCGAACAGG